This 5202-nucleotide long non-coding RNA is filed under the name Medicago truncatula (barrel medic). RNAcentral describes it as "long non-coding RNA (MTRU_LNC000662)". Lineage: Eukaryota; Viridiplantae; Streptophyta; Magnoliopsida; Fabales; Fabaceae. The record is from RNAcentral.
CUUAUAUAUUAUUAUGUCGAAAAAUAAUUAUCUGUUAUGAAGGCACAGCCAGUAAUAACAAAAUAAUAUCUGCACAAACCCAAAAUUGAAAUAAGUGACCUGCCACAAAUUACACAGCCACCUGAGCCAACUAUUGUAUAGGAGCAGUAUCUAGUGGUUCACCACAAAAAAUUUGACAGAUUAAAAGUCUGCGAAUUAAACAUUUAGAAUAUAAAAUUAAUAGACAAAACCAUUUACCUCAAUGGAGUAAAUUUCUGAACCUUCUGAAGAAAAGGCAACAACAUCUACAAGAGGUGUCAUAACCUCUCUAACUAGUGUGUCUUUUAUCUCCAACACGUUUUGAACCAUAUCCUACAUAUAAUUAUAGUUUUAUUGUUAACAGAUUCUUGAUUUAAUCAAUGUUGAGCUGGGGAAUGUGUAACGUCCACUUUCAUUUAAUCGUUUAUUUAAACGAGUUUAGACGAUUAUAUUAUAAUUAUAUAAUAUAUUCAUGAUUUUGAUAUGUUUUGAUGAUUUACGAUGAUUUUGGUGAUUUGAUUGAUGACGUGAUAAGUUAUGAAUUUUGAAGGCUUUGAUAAAGAUAUGAGAUUUAUUUUAUUGUUAAAUAAAAUAAAGAUUUGAAAAUAAUAUAAAAUAUUUAGUUGAGGGCUGUUUUGAUAUUUUAGAUAGUUUUGGGGGAGAAAGUGAAAUAAGAUAAGUAAUUAAGGAGAUAUAAAAAGGUUAGACCUAGUUUUAGAAAAACAUUGUUGUACGUACGUUUUUGGAGAAAAAGGGAGAAAAAGCCAAGAGAAGAGAAACCAAGAGAGAGGGCUGCGAUUUCUGCAAAACAAGGUAAGGGUGAGACUAAUAAUUCAAUAAUGUUAAUUGUUGUAAUUAUGAUGAUUAAUUGACAAAGUUAGGAUUGAUUUAGAAAAGUUUUGGAAUUAGGUCAUGUUAUCGCGAUUUUCGGGUGUCAAGUCAUUAAUUAGGCUUGAAUCUUUCAAUCUUUGAUAUUCUCUAUUUUUUCUUGGGAAGGGCAAAAUUGAGAAAAAACCCUUAGAUUCUAAGUUCGGGGGUCGUUUUCACUACGGGAAGGUGUUAGGCACCCGCGGUGACUAUAGUACUCUAUAGGAGCCGUUUUCUUAGUUUAUGUCUACGCUUUAUUUUUAAUGCUAUUUAUGAAAAAGGAAAUUUAUUUAUGUUAAGAAUGGGGGGAGAAAGUGUUUGAGGUUUUAUUUUAGUGGACUUGGAGAGGUUUUGACCUCAUGCCUACAUACCCAUUUAAGGGAUCAAACUCCAUGUAGUUCUCUCUCAAAAAAUGUUUUUUGUGUGUUUGGUUGAUUUUAGUUUUUGUUGGAAAAUGGUUUUGAAGAAGAGAAAGAGGCCUUAAAGGCAUAAGAGAGAAAAAUGGUGAAUGGUUGGUUCAAUUGUUAUUAAAAAAGUCUAAGUAGGAAUUAGGAUUCAUUUGGAUUUGUUUAAGAAAAUAAAGGAAAAAAUUCAAUGGAGUUUUGACUCCAAGGUUUGUUUGGAAAAAUUUGAGUGAUGGAAUUGGUUUAUUAUUUUUUUGAAAAUUGGCAUUUGUCUAAAAAUCGCGUUUCCUAAGCAUACAUCUAAACGGUAAACAUGCAACGUGUGUGCGUGUCGGUGCUUGUGUCGGUGUACAUCACUUAUAGUGUCCAUAGUCCUUUACAUUGAGUCCUAAAUACAUGCUAUGGUCUUGCAAGGAAUUAAAAAAAGAACUAAUCUAUCUAAAAUUAUUACAAACCCAAUUGAUAUAGAAAUGAAUAGAAAAAUGAUGCCAAAACUAUGGGAUGAAUGAAAUGUGAGAUGAAAUGGUUAGUAUCAUAAGGCAUAAAAAUAGUAGAAAGGUAAACAAAAUUGAAUAGAAUAGCAAGAGAAAAAAAAAAAUAAUGAAAUGAAAUAAAGUGGCAAAAUAUACCUAAAAUUGGUUAUGACACUUAGACAUGCAUAUGACCUAUAAUCCCCUCAUUAUAGCAAUGUUAAAGGGGUUUGAUUUUGAGCUAUAAUGUGGGAACAAAUAGGACACAUUCAAGCCAAGAAUCAUGACACAUUUUUAAAGAUAUUUUGCACUUUAUUUCUUGAUAAAAACACACAUUACUUGCAAAACAAGAAAGAAAUGAAAAUCUACAUCCACAAUCAGCAAGACAUACAUAUGAUCAGCAACACAUUCACCAUGAAAUUACACACCAAUCAUCCACAUCACAUGCCAACAUUUUAUGAGAAAAAUAUACCACAAAAAUACACAAACUUAGAUCAAACACAAAAUUAAUCAAGAAAAAAUAACACACACAUUUUUAUCAUUUUUAAACCAUUGAAAAAUAUCACAAAAGUACUAAAAUGUAUUAAGAAACAUAUAACAAUUUUUUAGGAAUUUUUAGAGAAAAGAUUAAGCACGCAGAGGUUCAAUUAGCAAAAAAGCAGGGUGCAGACAGCACAAAAAAGCAAAAACGUACAGGAACUUUAGGCCCAAACCCAAAGCCCAACACCAGAUCACAGGAAAGUACAGGGACCGUUGGAUUGAUCCAGGAGAUGGAAACCUAGAUCCAACGGUCUAGAUUGAGGGAAAACGAACCAGAAUUGGACCGGUCCGGUUCAGUUGGUUAUAAAANNNNNNNNNNNNNNNNNNNNNNNNNNNNNNNNNNNNNNNNNNNNNNNNNNNNNNNNNNNNNNNNNNNNNNNNNNNNNNNNNNNNNNNNNNNNNNNNNNNNGGUAAAACUUGAUUAGAUUGAUGUAGAAACCGUCCUAUAACCUUAGAACAUGUUUAGGAUGGAUUAUGGAAUCAAAAUUAGGCUUUGAACCAUGUUAUUUGAUGGAUUUUCGAGAAAACCCGUUUUCUGUCCGAGCCUCUGUUCAUCGCUCGCCUUGGCGAGGGAUGAUCCUCACCUCGCGAGUGAUGAACUUCAUCGCUCGCCACGCGAGCCCUUUUCCUUCGCCUCGCGAGUUCUUUGGGUACCGCUCGCCAUAGCGAGCUAAGGCAGAGAGCAUGUUAGAUUUUGUGUUUCGACCUUUUUAGUUGGACCUUGAGUGCCUUUGAGUGCCUGAACAUACCUAGUAUUGAUUAGGAAUGAAUGUAGGAUCAGACUUAACCCAGAACAACACUAGUUUGGGAGUUGAGUUGUACUCGCCUCGCGAGCACAACCAUAAUGUAGUUGCUUGAGUGUUUGUGCGAUCUAUGUCGCACGUUUUGAUCGAUAGUGAACCCCUGCUUGGUAUUGAGACCUAAUGAUGACGUUAAAUGCAGUCUGUAGAGUUGUUAAGAUAUGUUGAUAUUAAUUGAACAUGAACUAAUGUAUUGUAUAAUUAUGCAAGAUAUGCAAGUUUGAUUAUAAUGCAAUUGAUGUGCUAUUGAUAUAAUGAUAUCAUCCUGUUAUGUGAUUUGUUUAUGCUGCUUCUGUUAUUUAACUAAGUGCAUAUUGUAUAUGAGUAUGAUGAAAUGAUGAAGUUAGCUCCAAAUUAUUGGAUGCAUGUUGAUAUGUUGAUUACGAUGUUUUGUUCAUACGAGUCCAUGCAUAGCAUCUCAUUGAGCUUAGUCCUCACCACGAUUAUUAGGAGCUUUGUCCUCCGCACGAUUAAAGUAUAUUAAUACUUAUGAUGACGAUUGGUACCACAUGCGUAUAAGGAGUCUAAGAGCAUUGUCGCAUUGUCAUGAUUAAGAUGCCUUGUUGAUAAUGAUUGUAUAUGUGAUUACGUGAUAAGUGUUCAUCAAAUAUGAUAUGUUGUUCAUGAUAAAUGGAUAUAUGAUUACGUGAUAACUGUUUAGCAAUUUUGCAAAGUUGUUAAAGAAAUGAUUAUGAUGUUAACUUAUGAUUCGCAAUUACAUUGAUUAAUGUUAUUUUGUUAUGAAAUCUCACCCCUUCUGCUUGAAAAUGUUGCCCUUCGUAUGUUUAUCUUGCAGGUGAUCGUGCUUAGUGUGCAGUUGCCGUCGUGAGUGGCCUUGCCUUCACUGUGUCGUCUAGGUCGCUCUGAUACGUAACGGGAUGGGGAUUAAUGUUAUACAUGCUUCAUUCUCUUACGUGAUUAAUAUGUUAUUUUUAUAAUGUUAUGGAUUACGAUAUGAACUGUUUUGAUGGGGCCUACGUGCCAAACUGAUUUAUGAUUUUCGAACUAAUAUUCCGCUGCUAUGUUAAGAUAUUAUGUGAAAGUUAAAUUAUUAUUUAACUGUUGUUUUUGGAUUACGUUUCCAUGUGAUAUCCCGUUUAUGGUUUUUACUCUGAUAAAUGUUUAAGAAAUUUGUAUAUUGGAAAAACGGGGUGUUACAGAAUGCAAUAUUCAACUCGUCAACGAUCUCUUUCUCCCAUUUGAGGCGAUACAAAUUCUUCAAGUUCCUUUAUCUACUAGUCAGCUGAGUGAUAUGUUCAUCUGGGAAGCAAAUCAAUGAUCUGUGAAUUCAGAACACAAAUCCUUAAAGGAGAGGAGUAUGAAGUAUUGCAAAACCAACCACGUUAUGGUCCAAACUUUGGAAUCUCAAAACUAUCCCAUGUCAUGUUCACCUUAUAUGUGGCGUAUCUUGCAUAAUCAGUCUACUCCCGGUUCAAGUUGCUCUCUUUAAGAAAGUUAUUAAUUGCUCCCCACUGUGUGCUUUCAAUGAAUCUAUUAAUCACCUCUAUCAAUGAGUGGGAUGAACAAGGGAUUGUGAGUGAAUCGGAGCAUGUGAUUAAAUCAGUCCUAUCCAUGUAUUAUGACGUAUGGAAAAAUAGGAACAAGAGUGCUUUGACGGAUAUGAUAUUCCCGGUGCAGCAGACGGGGGUUAGGGACUGUCAGCAGUAACUCGUGAUGCUGACAGAGUAGUUGAACUUGUUGCUCUGAACUGCUGUAAAAACAUGAUGUGGACGGGCUAUGGCAAUGAAGGCUGGACUGAAAUUUGUAAGGGAGAUACUCUUUUUAAAUUUAUUUGCCGAAUCUGAUUCUCUAUAUUGGAUUACUGCAAUCUUUUAUUUUCUAGCUUUUAUAGUCUAUAGUUUAUACAUGUUAGACUUCUUGUAUUAUGCUCCACGUUAUCCAGGAAGAUUUGGCAUUUUCAAUUCUGAUUGUGUGUGGAUUGGUGAAACUCCUAGUUGUAUUUCUGUCUUGGCAUUCGAUUUGAUGUCAAACAGAUAUAACUUUUCAACUUCAAAAUAAAUGUUCCUUUUUAUGUUCUGCUUAUCUAAAUGAAAUGCAUUUGUUCACAUAACAUAUCACAUUGUUAUUGUUUUUUUCUUUUCU